UUUCAAUUUUAAAAGUGGAUAUAAAGUUCUUUUCAAUUUUAAAAGUUGAUAUAAAGUUCUUUUUAAUAUUAAAAGUGGAUAUAAAGUUCUUUUUAAUUUUUUAUUUUCAUAUUAAUGAAAGAAAAAAUAUGAAUGAAUCAAGUUUUAAAGUAAUAUUUGAAGUGUACCAUCAAUUAUUAUUAAGAUAAUUAGAUAAUUCUUUUACUAUUAGCAAAGUUUGCUUACAAUAAUUUGGUAUAUUUUUCUACUUAAUAAACACCUUCUUUUAAAAAUUAUGGUUAUUAUCUAUAAUUUGAUACUUUUGACUUUUGAAAAAUUUAUAAUCAUAUGAUAGAAGAUUUGGCAAAUUAUUUGUCAGAGCUACAUGCAACAAUUAAGGUAUAAUUAAACAAAGCUAAAGAAUGAUAAAAAAUCAAUGUAGAUGGCUAUUGCAAGGAACAUCUAUAAUUCAACAUGGGUAAUAAGAUAUGGCAUAUGAUAUUAGCAGACAUACAUGGUAGCUAGUAAAGAAUCUUAUAAAUACGAUAAAAAAAAUUGAGGCUUUUUAUU
Molecule: long non-coding RNA, 549 nt
Filed under: Physcomitrium patens
Lineage: Eukaryota; Viridiplantae; Streptophyta; Bryopsida; Funariales; Funariaceae
Description: long non-coding RNA (PPAT_LNC002396)
Source: RNAcentral